UACGUAGGGGGCGAGCGUUAUCCGGAUUCACUGGGUGUAAAGGGAGCGUAGACGGCCAUGCAAGCCAGGGGUGAAAGCCCGGGGCCCAACCCCGGGACUGCCCUUGGAACUGCAUGGCUGGAGUGCGGGAGGGGCAGGCGGAAUUCCUGGUGUGGCGGUGAAAUGCGUAGAUAUCAGGAGGAACACCGGCGGCGAAGGCGGCCUGCUGGACCGCGACUGACGUUGAGGCUCGAAAGCGUGGGGAGCGAACAGG
RNAcentral lists this ribosomal RNA (253 nucleotides) under uncultured bacterium. RNAcentral describes it as "partial 16S ribosomal RNA". It matches the Rfam family "Bacterial small subunit ribosomal RNA", at positions 524 to 776 of the family's 1533-position model. The record is from RNAcentral.